ACACUGGAAGCCUCUCUGUGGCUGAUGGGAGGACCAGGGCUGAUGAAAGGAUGGAGCCAUGAAGGGCAGCCCUCCUGCUGCGGGUCGCCCUGCUGCUGCCCUGGGCCUGCAGCUCCUGGCACGUGGGUCUCUGGGACUCCUUGUGGAUGUGCCUCUCCAGGGCCCUCCAUCCUCGGUGGGCAGGAGACUCCCCUAGGGAGCUUGCUCUCAAGUUCUCAAUAGCAUACACACGGCUGCCACAAAUACACAGAAGUUUUGGGAAUUAGCUCUGUGAGACAGGCCUAUUUCAGAUAAGAAAAAUGAGGAUCAGAGAAGCUGAAAGUCUUGCGGAGGACACCCCAGCAAGGCGAAUUACAGGCCCAGAAUUCUAACGAGGGCAUCCGGACUCUGGGAUUACAACCGCCUUCUGCGUCCCAGGAAAAACCUCCUCUAGUCAUGCCCAGAUCUGCCUGGUCUAAAAACCACAAAAAUCGCAGGACUUUCCACUGAGUCAAUGCUUGUCACGUCUAGAGACCUGGAUCGAGCUGUUUCCUUCCAUUCACAGAGCCGUCCUGCAGGAGAGAUGUUACUUUUACCAUCAAUGUAAAAACUGAGCCUUAAACUGCUUCAGAAACUGUUUAGAUUCAUUCAACUGAAUAUUCACACUGGAGUUUGAAUCAAGGCCUACGUGGCUUUAGAAAUUUAAGAUCCAAACCGUACCACUGUUGUACCUGACAUCCUUCAUGCACCUCCCUCAUCUUCAGAGAAACAAUUCUAAUUCUUCACUUUAAAGCAAGGUAGUGUGACUUUCCAAUGACUUCAGGGCAUUCGGUAAAGAACAGCUUGGUUCAAAGUAAGUUGAUGAGCACAGCAAUUUCUUCAUAAUGGCAACCUG
Molecule: long non-coding RNA, 874 nt
Filed under: Homo sapiens (human)
Lineage: Eukaryota; Metazoa; Chordata; Mammalia; Primates; Hominidae
Description: non-protein coding lnc-PRSS51-3:1
Source: RNAcentral